AACCUAGCACACCUGCGGUGUGUACCUGCGGAGGGAUCAUUACUGGAACAUUCAAGGUUUUUUGAAGCUGGCCUUUAGGGGCAUGUGCUCGCCUUGUUUCAAUCCACUUACACCUGUGCACAAUUUGUAGUUCUGGGAUGGGUUUCCAAUCCUGAUCAGAUCUACGUCCUUUACACACACACUUUGUAUGUUAAGAAUGUACUAUAUGCGUUAUAACGCAACAAUAACAACUUUUAACAA
Molecule: unclassified non-coding RNA, 240 nt
Filed under: soil metagenome
Description: partial contains 5.8S ribosomal RNA, internal transcribed spacer 2, and large subunit ribosomal RNA
Source: RNAcentral